GACGAACGCUGGCGGUGUGCUUAACACAUGCAAGUCGAACGAAGCUUGAUUACGGAUUCUUCGGAUGAAGUAUGAUAUGACUGAGUGGCGGACGGGUGAGUAACGCGUGAGUAACCUGCCCUUCAGAGGGGGAUAGCGUUUGGAAACGAACGGUAAUACCGCAUAAUGUAUUUUGACCGCAUGAUCGAAAUACCAAAGAUUUAUCGCUGAAGGAUGGACUCGCGUCUGAUUAGGUAGUUGGUGGGGUAACGGCCUACCAAGCCGACGAUCAGUAGCCGGACUGAGAGGUUGAUCGGCCACAUUGGGACUGAGACACGGCCCAGACUCCUACGGGAGGCAGCAGUGGGGAAUAUUGCACAAUGGGCGCAAGCCUGAUGCAGCAACGCCGCGUGAAGGAAGACGGUUUUCGGAUUGUAAACUUCUGUUCUUAGUGAAGAAUAAUGACGGUAGCUAAGGAGCAAGCCACGGC
RNAcentral lists this ribosomal RNA (469 nucleotides) under uncultured bacterium. Its description in RNAcentral is "bacterial SSU rRNA". It matches the Rfam family "Bacterial small subunit ribosomal RNA", at positions 28 to 497 of the family's 1533-position model. The record is from RNAcentral.